GAUGAACGCUGGCGGCGUGCCUAAUACAUGCAAGUCGAGCGAACGGACGAUAAGCUUGCUUCUCUGAUGUUAGCGGCGGACGGGUGAGUAACACGUGGAUAACCUACCUAUAUGACUGGGAUAACUUCGGGAAACCGGAGCUAAUACCGGAUAAUAUUUUGAACCGCAUGGUUCAAAAGUGAAAGACGGUCUUGCUGUCACUUAUAGCUGGAUCCGCGCUGCAUUAGCUAGUUGGUAAGGUAACGGCUUACCAAGGCAACGAUGCAUAGCCGACCUGAGAGGGUGAUCGGCCACACUGGAACUGAGACACGGUCCAGACUCCUACGGGAGGCAGCAGUAGGGAAUCUUCCGCAAUGGGCGAAAGCCUGACGGAGCAACGCCGCGUGAGUGAUGAAGGUCUUCGGAUCGUAAAGCUCUGUUAUUAGGGAAGAACAUAUGUGUAAGUAACUGUGCACAUCUUGACGGUACCUAAUCAGAAAGCCACGGCUAACUACGUG
Molecule: ribosomal RNA, 497 nt
Filed under: uncultured bacterium
Lineage: Bacteria
Description: partial 16S ribosomal RNA
Rfam family: Bacterial small subunit ribosomal RNA
Source: RNAcentral